GCUGCCGUAGCUCAGUGGUAGAGCACCCCCCUUGGUAAGGGGGAGGUCGGUAGUUCAAUCCUACUCGGCAGCACCA
RNAcentral lists this transfer RNA (76 nucleotides) under Rhodospirillaceae bacterium. RNAcentral's name for it is "tRNA-Pro". It matches the Rfam family "tRNA". Rfam says of the family: Transfer RNA (tRNA) molecules are approximately 80 nucleotides in length. Their secondary structure includes four short double-helical elements and three loops (D, anti-codon, and T loops). Lineage: Bacteria; Pseudomonadati; Pseudomonadota; Alphaproteobacteria; Rhodospirillales; Rhodospirillaceae. The record is from RNAcentral.